UGUAUUUCUGCGCUGUCAGCGGAAAGCCAGACCUGGCGGUAACAGACAUGUACAGACUUACUGGGGAUGACUGUCCUGGAGACUGAGGGAAGGAGGGAAUGCAGGUGUGUCUGUGAAAGUGGUAUAAAUGAUAGGCCCAGGGCAGCUGGCUGGGCCUGGGCUGCUGGGACGACUGAUGAGGGGGGAACACCUCGUGUACCCUGUCUGAGGCUGAGCCGGGCCGGCUGGGGGCACACUGAGGUGGAGAAAAAGUGACGACACAGAAAUAAGACGGUAUACAACUGGGGCACGGAGACAUGAUACUAGAUAACACAACAUCUUGGUAGUCCAGCGGGUCCAGCGGCUCCAGGGGGCAUGAGCAUGGCUGGGGCCACAAACCAGACGAGACCGGCCGGAGGGUGGAGAGCUGAGAGCAGAGAGCGGGAACAAACUCCAGCCUCCAGACCGAGGAGCUGUUCUGUGAGAAUGUGUCCAUCUGCAGCAUACGCUGGAGCCCGCCCAAAAGAAACAGACUAAAAUUAAACCACAGCAAGACAGCCAAGCUCCGUGUUUAAAGUACUCACAAACAGAGGAUUACUGUGUUAUACCAUCUGUAAAGCUCUGAGAAAGGGCCAAUAAUGCUGUCUAAA
Long non-coding RNA from Salmo salar (Atlantic salmon), 629 nucleotides. RefSeq lists it as uncharacterized. The record is from RefSeq and is a predicted model, not a curated record. Lineage: Eukaryota; Metazoa; Chordata; Actinopteri; Salmoniformes; Salmonidae.